GACGAACGCUGGCGGCGUGCCUAAUACAUGCAAGUUGAGCGCUGAAGGUUGGUACUUGUCCCCACUGGAUGAGCAGCGCACGGGUGAGUAACGCGUGGGGAAUCUGCCUUUGAGCGGGGGACAACAUUUGGAAACGAAUGCUAAUACCGCAUAAAAACUUUAAACACAAGUUUUAAGUUUGAAAGAUGCAAUUGCAUCACUCAAAGAUGAUCCCGCGUUGUAUUAGCUAGUUGGUGAGGUAAAGGCUCACCAAGGCGAUGAUACGUAGCCGACCUGAGAGGGUGAUCGGCCACAUUGGGACUGAGACACGGCCCAAACUCCUACGGGAGGCAGCAGGAGGGAAUCUUCGGCAAUGGACGAAAGUCUGACCGAGCAACGCCGCGUGAGGGAAGAAGGGUGUCGGAUCGUAAAACUCUGUUGGUAGAGAAGAACGUUGGUGAGAGUGGAAAGCUCAUCAAGUGACGGUAACUACCCAGAAAGGGACGGCUAACUACGUG
RNAcentral lists this ribosomal RNA (497 nucleotides) under uncultured bacterium. RNAcentral describes it as "partial 16S ribosomal RNA". It matches the Rfam family "Bacterial small subunit ribosomal RNA", at positions 28 to 507 of the family's 1533-position model. The record is from RNAcentral.